GGAGGAAGCAGGGGAUCGCAAGACCUUGCGCUUUUGGAGCGGCCGAUGCCUGAUUAGCUUGUUGGUGAGGUAAAAGCUCACCAAGGCUUCGAUCAGUAGCUGGUCUGAGAGGACGACCGGCCACACUGGGACUGAGACACGGCCCAGACUCCUACGGGAGGCAGCAGUGGGGAAUUUUGGACAAUGGGGGCAACCCUGAUCCAGCCAUGCCGCGUGAGUGAAGAAGGCCUUCGGGUUGUAAAGCUCUUUCAGCCGGAACGAAACGGUUACGGUUAAUACCCGUGACUACUGACGGUACCGGAAAAAGAAGCACCGGCUAACUACGUGCCAGCAGCCGCGGUAAUACGUAGGGUGCAAGCGUUAAUCGGAAUUACUGGGCGUAAAGCGUGCGCAGGUGGUUUUGUAAGUCAGAUGUGAAAUCCCCGGGCUUAACCUGGGAACUGCGUUUGAAACUACAAAGCUAG
RNAcentral lists this ribosomal RNA (464 nucleotides) under uncultured bacterium. Its description in RNAcentral is "bacterial SSU rRNA". It matches the Rfam family "Bacterial small subunit ribosomal RNA", at positions 199 to 644 of the family's 1533-position model. The record is from RNAcentral.